Molecule: ribosomal RNA, 440 nt
Filed under: uncultured bacterium
Lineage: Bacteria
Description: partial 16S ribosomal RNA
Rfam family: Bacterial small subunit ribosomal RNA
Source: RNAcentral
CCUACGGGAGGCAGCAGUGGGGAAUAUUGCACAAUGGGGGAAACCCUGAUGCAGCGACGCCGCGUGAAGGAAGAAGUAUUUCGGUAUGUAAACUUCUAUCAGCAGGGAAGAAAAUGACGGUAUCUGACUAAGAAGCACCGGCUAACUACGUGCCAGCAGCCGCGGUAAUACGUAGGGGGCAAGCGUUACCCGGAUUUACUGGGUGUAAAGGGAGCGUAGGCGGUUUAGCAAGUCAGAAGUGAAAGCCUGGGGCUUAACCCCGGGACUGCUUUUGAAACUGUUGAACUAGAUUGUGGGAGAGGUAGGUGGAAUUCCUGGUGUAGGGGUGAAAUGCGUAGAGAUUAGGAGGAAUACUAGUGGCGAAGGCGGCUUACUGGACUAUAAAUGACGCUGAGGCGCGAAAGCGUGGGGAGCAAACAGGAUUAGAUACCCGAGUAGUC